RNAcentral lists this long non-coding RNA (1190 nucleotides) under Pogona vitticeps (central bearded dragon). RNAcentral's name for it is "lncRNA (ENSPVIG00000020991.1)". The record is from RNAcentral. Lineage: Eukaryota; Metazoa; Chordata; Lepidosauria; Squamata; Agamidae.
CUGAAGCCUUGUACUGAAUUCAUCUCUGUGCAUGAGUUGGAGUCUCCUGUCUGUGUCUCUUUUUUUGCUCCUUCUUGGUUUAUAUCCAGAAUUUCCUCCCUCGCCUUCCACGGACCAGUCGUUAAUCACAGAGCCUUCCUCGGACUGCGGCUGUUCCGUUUUUAUCCCUGAUCCCCUCGUUACGGGGGCACCUUCCUGAGAACCCGGAGCGGGAUGCAGAGGUGGUUCCUGUUUGUAGGCUGUCGCCAUGACCUCCUUGCCCUCCCACCGAGGGGACCGUGGUGGGGCUCGGCGGGAUCAACCCAAACAGUUCCCUUCGAGGGCAAAACAUCCCCCAGAAAAAGGAGAGGGACCUUUGUGGAAGAACAAUGACUUUCCUGACAGCCGUCGCUCACCCAGUGCCUUCAGAUGUUGGGUAUGAGCAAAGAGGAAGGAAGAUGGAGGUUCGGGCUCAUCACCGCUUGCCGUAGACGGUUAAAUUGGCAUCAUGUAACCAAGCCAAAAAAACAUAUGGAUGAGAUCAUGUCUGGAUCCUUUCAUCGGGAGAUGGAGGAAAGUUGCCUUUUUAUGAACCCAGCUGGACAAAGGAUUGCUGCUCACAAGACUGACGUUCAUUUUGUUGGAGGUUUUGGGGGAACUCCAGAAAUCGUGAAUCUGCACCAGGUGUGGUCGAGGGACCUGGGGCAGAAGGCUCAGCACCCUUCCAAAUGAAAAAUCUUUAUGGGAAUCAUGCCAGGUAAAAGCCUAGUACACGCAAGGUGCUGUGAUGCGGAUAGCGUUUGUCGUUAGCGAAAAACCUGGUCAUCCUUUUCCAUCAUCACUGAUCAUAAUAUUCCAGGUGAGACCAAACUCAUGCAGAAUACAGUGUUACUUCCCACAAUCUGAGUACUAGACUUCUGUCGACACAGCCUGCUGUGACAUCUGCCUUUUCUGCUGCCACCUCACAUCGUUGGCACAGGUUCGCACUUGUCCCUUGAACUUCACGGAGCUGAGCAGCACGGGUUUUGGCUGCAUGUGGUUUUUCCCCCCAUCCAUCCAUCCAUCCAUCCGUCCGUCCGUCCGUCCGUCCGUCCGUCCGUCCGUCCAUCCUGCUAUUUGUCUCGUGGAUGUGGUCCAAGAAAGGUGGGUCUUGAGCUUGCAUGGUGGGUCCACAUGGUGGGGGUCGGAGUGUGCUGGGGCAUGCUGGGAGG